RNAcentral lists this ribosomal RNA (497 nucleotides) under uncultured bacterium. RNAcentral describes it as "partial 16S ribosomal RNA". It matches the Rfam family "Bacterial small subunit ribosomal RNA", at positions 28 to 507 of the family's 1533-position model. The record is from RNAcentral.
GACGAACGCUGGCGGCGUGCCUAAUACAUGCAAGUAGAACGUUGAAGAGAGGAGCUUGCUCUUCUUGGCUGAGUUGCGAACGGGUGAGUAACGCGUAGGUAACCUGCCUCGUAGCGGGGGAUAACUAUUGGAAACGAUAGCUAAUACCGCAUAACAAUGGAUGACCCAUGUCAUUUAUUUGAAAGGGGCAAAUGCUCCACUACAAGAUGGACCUGCGUUGUAUUAGCUAGUAGGUGAGGUAACGGCUCACCUAGGCGACGAUACAUAGCCGACCUGAGAGGGUGAUCGGCCACACUGGGACUGAGACACGGCCCAGACUCCUACGGGAGGCAGCAGUAGGGAAUCUUCGGCAAUGGGGGCAACCCUGACCGAGCAACGCCGCGUGAGUGAAGAAGGGUUUCGGAUCGUAAAGCUCUGUUGUAAGUCAAGAACGAGUGUGAGAGUGGAAAGUUCACAAUGUGACGGUAGCUUACCAGAAAGGGACGGCUAACUACGUG